GGAGUUUGGGCCGUGUCUCAGUCCCAAUGUGGCCGGUCGCCCUCUCAGGCCGGCUACGGAUCAUCACCUUGGUAGGCCGUUACCCUGCCAACAAGUUAAUCCGACGCGGGCCCAUCCUGCACCGAUAAAUCUUUCCACCCGGCACCAUGCGGUGCUGUGUGCAUAUGCGGUAUUAACAGUCGUUUCCAACUGUUAUCCCCCUCCGAUGGGCAGGUUGCAUACGUGUUACUCACCAGUGCGCCGGUCGCCGGCGGCGUGUUGCCACGCCCCGACUGCCCCUCGACUUGCAUGUGUUAAGCCUGUCGCUAGCGUUCAUC
This 317-nucleotide ribosomal RNA is filed under the name uncultured Butyrivibrio sp. RNAcentral's name for it is "partial 16S ribosomal RNA". Lineage: Bacteria; Bacillati; Bacillota; Clostridia; Lachnospirales; Lachnospiraceae. The record is from RNAcentral.